GGCUGUAUUCAGAUAUAGGGCUUCUGUCCUAAUCCCAUUCAGCCUAUAACACAGCCCUUAGUACAUUAAUCCUAAUUAUAAAUUCUUUCACAAUCCUAAAAGCCAUGUCCUGAGUCUAAAUCUGAUGCUGGUUUUGUCUUUCAGACUUUUUGCUUUUAUUAUUAAAAGCCAGGUGAAGCCAAAAAGUAUAGAGGUGUUGUACAAGGCUGGCCCAAAGGUCUGAACUCUUCCCUUGUCCAUCUGAAGACACCUGCUGAGCACUUACAAUGUGGUUGUCCUUUUAGCUGCUUUGAGGUUUGUUGAGAACAAACUUUCUACAAGUCCUACUUCCUGUUAAGUUGGUCCCUGGUCACCACUCCUACUACAAGGGCAUGACUUCUGUGUGCAAGGACUGUUCCUGGAAGAAAGUUGUAUACAAAAAAGGAAAGAUUGAAAAAUUCCUUUCAUGGAACUGAUGGAUCUCUCCACUGGAAUUCCUUUAGGUAUUUUCAGUCAGCAUGAUGGGGCGGGAAGGUCCCCUGGAAAUCAACUCCUUUCAGGGGCUUCCAAGGUGAAAUCUGAAACCGGCCCCCAUAGGCAAAGGGAAGAGGCAAGACAGAAGAGGCAGGCCACUAAGUUGGUGGAUGGCGGCUUUCAUAAAGGGAAUUUCCACACAAGAUCCCCCACCCGCAAGGCUGGAGUGUACAACUGUAGAUGUGCCCUGUUCUCAGGGCCUUAUGGUUAGUGUGGGUGUCUUCAAGAACCAGAAUCUGUCUCCUGUGCCUAAGUGUAGUCAGAGGAGGGGCUAUCAGCCUCCCAGUCUGGCUCUCGGUUUUAGUGGUCAAUUUGCAGGAAUGGUUACAUAUCCCAGUUCAAAAGCUGAAUAGAAGAUGCCUGGAAGUUGGAUCUAGGCAUCUUCAAUGAGGAUUUUUUUUUUUUUGGGAGGGCCAGCCAAGAAACCAAGAUUAGUUUUGGGUCAUGGUUGGGCUUCCUGUAGGGAAGCUCCUAGUA
Canis lupus familiaris (dog) is the source of this 990-nucleotide long non-coding RNA. RefSeq lists it as uncharacterized. The transcript is spliced from 5 exons. The record is from RefSeq and is a predicted model, not a curated record. NCBI's taxonomy places the organism in Eukaryota, Metazoa, Chordata, Mammalia, Carnivora, Canidae.